GUCUCUACGAAAAAUAAUAUACAGUCUAGCCUGCCCAGUGAAUAACUUAAAUGGCCGCGGUAUCCUGACCGUGCAAAGGUAGCAUAAUAAUUAGUUUUUUAAUUGAAAGCUUGCAUGAAUGGCUGGACAAAGAAAAAUCUGUUUCUACUUUUUUUUUAAAAUUUUACUUUUAGGUGAAAAGGCCUAAAUAAACUUAAUAGACGAUAAGACCCUAUAAAUCUUUAUAUGAUCUUUUCUUAUGAGUAAUUAUUUGAGUUUAUUUUUUAUAAAAAAAAGAUAUAUUUUGUUGGGGCGACAAGAAUACUAAAACUGUUCUAAUUUUCAAACAAAAAUUUUUGUCUAUAGUAGAUCCUUCACUGAAGAUUAAAAAUUUAAGUUACUUUAGGGAUAACAGCGUAAUUUUUUUUUGAGAGUUCAUAUCGACAAAAAAGUUUGCGACCUCGAUGUUGAAUUAAAGUUUCUUUAUAAUGCAGCAGUUAUAAAAGUAAGUCUGUUCGACUUUUAAAACUUU
Molecule: ribosomal RNA, 511 nt
Filed under: Phylladiorhynchus joannotae
Lineage: Eukaryota; Metazoa; Arthropoda; Malacostraca; Decapoda; Galatheidae
Description: partial large subunit ribosomal RNA
Rfam family: Bacterial large subunit ribosomal RNA
Source: RNAcentral